Molecule: ribosomal RNA, 1192 nt
Filed under: uncultured fungus
Lineage: Eukaryota; Fungi
Description: eukaryotic LSU rRNA
Rfam family: Eukaryotic large subunit ribosomal RNA (bases 541-1192)
Source: RNAcentral
CUUGGUCAUUUAGAGGAAGUAAAAAUCGUAACAAGGUUUCCGUUGGUGAACCAGCGGAAGGAUCAUUACAGAGAUCGUGCCCUCACGGGUAGACCUCCCACCCUGUGUUAUUUACCUUUGUUGCUUUGGCAGGCCGCCUUCGGGCCCGCGGCUUCGGCUGGGGAGCGCCUGCCAGAGGACCAACCAACCCUAUUGUAUACCUGUCGUCUGAGUACUAUAUAAUAAGUUAAAACUUUCAACAACGGAUCUCUUGGUUCUGGCAUCGAUGAAGAACGCAGCGAAAUGCGAUAAGUAAUGUGAAUUGCAGAAUUCAGUGAAUCAUCGAAUCUUUGAACGCACAUUGCGCCCCUUGGUAUUCCGGGGGGCAUGCCUGUUCGAGCGUCAUUUCAACCCUCAAGCUCAGCUUGGUCUUAGGCUCUGCCCGUUCAACGGCUUGCCUUAAAAGCAGUGGCGGUGCCGUCGAGCUCUACGCGUAGUAAUUCUACCCUCGCGUGUGAGCCCUCGACGUGCGCUGGCCAACAACCCCUCACUUCUUAUAGUUGACCUCGAAUCAGGUAGGGAUACCCGCUGAACUUAAGCAUAUCAAUAAGCGGAGGAAAAGAAACCAACAGGGAUUACCUCAGUAACGGCGAGUGAAGCGGUAACAGCUCAAAUUUGAAAUCUGGCUCUUUCAGGGUCCGAGUUGUAAUUUGUAGAAGAUGCUUCGGGUGUGGCUCCGGUCUAAGUUCCUUGGAACAGGACGUCAUAGAGGGUGAGAAUCCCGUAUGUGACUGGCUGCCUUCGCCUAUGUGAAGCUCUUUCGACGAGUCGAGUUGUUUGGGAAUGCAGCUCAAAAUGGGUGGUAAAUUUCAUCUAAAGCUAAAUAUUGGCCAGAGACCGAUAGCGCACAAGUAGAGUGAUCGAAAGAUGAAAAGCACUUUGGAAAGAGAGUUAAACAGUACGUGAAAUUGUUGAAAGGGAAGCGCUUGCAAUCAGACUUGCACGCUAUCGAUCAUCCGUAGUUCUCUGCGGUGCACUCGGUAGCGUUCAGGCCAGCAUCGGUUUAGGUGGUUGGAUAAAGGCCUUGGGAAUGUAGCUUCUUUCGGGGAGUGUUAUAGCCCUCGGUGCAAUGCAGCCUACCUGGACCGAGGACCGCGCUUCGGCUAGGAUGCUGGCGUAAUGGUUGUAAGCGACCCGUCUUGAAACACGGACC